CCGGCUUCUCCUGGUACCAGGAUGGUUCUUGGCAUCUAUGGAGUUUUCUUUUGUUACCGUAGCACCGUUCCUCGCUUCUUCUUCUUUUUCACAUUCUCCUUUUCUUAUUCCUAUCUCAUGCCAUCUUGUUCUUGAAAUCAAACCCCAUAUCGUCUCUCCUCUCCUCUGCUUGUCUUCUCUUCUUGAACGAUGGGCGAGGCAACUUUGGAAGGCCGUCUGUACCGUAGGCAACCAGUAUGCAGCCAUUGUUGGAUGGAGAGGUCGCAGGAGGAGAAAGGAAGGGGGAUGUUUCGGCUUUGGUCUCAUCCAUUCAAGAAUCUGAGAGAGCGUCUUUUUCUCUCUCUCUUCUUCUUCUUAGCUUUUCUUUCUCUUUGUUUCUUGAUUUUCUUCUUCAUUUUUUGUUCCCCGAAUUGGGAAAGUGGCAGCGGUUUAAGCUUUAUCUGAAGAGGCUGUAAUGAUUUCUUGACGAACGUUUUGCUGCAUUGUGAAGUAGAAGACGACUAUUUCUAACGGCAAGGCAAUCUUGGAUGGUCUGCUGCUGUUCUACGGGCAAUUUAGAUGCGGAGACUUGGUGACUAACAACACAAUACGAGAUUAAGUGACCAAAUUCUAUGUUGCUGCACCAAUCUGGUUCCGUAAGCUGGUUUCCCUGGCGUUGCUCUUCUAACGUUGCUAGCCGAGGAGUUGACCGGGAUUAAUGACAACUUUAAGUUGCUUCAUUUUUAGAGCCUCUUUUAUGCAAGAGUUUCACAGCAUAUAAAUUUUGCUGGAGACAGUAUUAAAUAAGGUACCUGGAUCAUGUUUCAUAUUGCUAUCAAGUGGUGUACAAGUGCUUCUCGAAGAAUUUCUAUACAACAUCUUCGAAUUUGAUAUGAACUCUGUCCAUUACAACUAUUCUUUGCUCUUAAAUAUCUUAGUAUUGCUUGUCUAGGGGACUUAUUCAUGAAAGCAGUUACUCACCAUACAUUUUUAUAUUCAUUUCAAGCAAAAAUAUAUUUUAUAUCCUUUUGAAAUUGAGGAUUUAUACUUAUACUUGUAUUUUUGCUAUAUAAUUUACAGAUUAGUUGGGAAAGAGUGGAAAUAAAAUGUAAACAUUGUAUUAUUUGUAAUUCGGAAGGUCAGUUGUUCUGCAGCCUACUACUGCAGCAUAUUGGAGACCGGACAAGAUUGCUGGUAGGCAGGAAAAAUGAGCCUUUUCUCUUAUUCAGCUCCACAUAAGAACACUUCUAUACUUUAACUCAAUCUCCUCUCCUUUGUCUUUUCUAACAAUGUUGGAGGAACUUUUACGGUCUGCUAGGGUUGUUUGGAUCUUUCAGAUGCAUGGAUGGGGUCUGUUAGAUGCAGGACUUGUCAGAGCCUCAAAAUCCUAUUUCACAGCUUUUUCAUUGGAUAUGCCUAGUACUAUUAUUAUAUGUGGAAAAUAAGGUGCCUUCAAAGACUUUUGUUGAUUUUUAUUAUGAGGAUUCUGGAAGAACUUGGAUGGUUGCCUCUUCAGUGGUUAUCGUUGCAUGAAAAGAGAUGCAUGCACAUAUAAUUCUUCUUUCAUUUUUUUUUAAUUCUAAUUAUUGAAAUUUUUUUGUGAAGCUUUGGUAAAUUCUUCCCAAUGGGCAAGACAAAUAUUUUUUUGGUUCUCUCUUAGCAAAUCUAUUGGAAAUGGCAAAGCAAGACUAUACUGCAAGACAUAUAAGGAGUCACAGCGCUACCGACAGCUGUCCCAUUUCUUAGCCCGCUCAGUUCUCCGGUUCUCCUGAUAUCAGUGCAGUUCUUGGCGCCUAUGAAGAUUUUUUUAGUUCCUGUAGCACUCCUCCUUUCUUCUUCUUCUUCUUCUUGUUCACCUUCUCCUUGUCUUAUUCCUAUCCUGUGUAAACUUAUUUUUGAACCAAACAUAGCCUUUCUGCAGCUUAAAGUUGUCCUUGAAAUUAACCCCCAUCCCGUGUCUCCUCUCCUCUGCUUGUCUUCUCUGCUUGAACGAUGGGCCAGGCAAUGCUGGAAGGUCUACUGUUCUGCAGGCAACCAGUAUGCAGCCAUUGUUGGAUCGAGAGGUCGCUGGAGGAGAAAAGGAGGGGUAUCUUUCGGUUUCAGUCUCAUCCAUUCAAGAAUCCCAUGAAGCCUACAAGCCCUGGGUAUUAUUCUAUUUCUUCUUCUUUUUCCUCCUUUGCUUCUUUUUCUCUUUCUUCCUUUUCUUUUCUUCUCUCUUGCUUUUCUUCUUCAUUCUUUGUUCCCCAAAUUGGGAAAGUCUUACCUGUUUUAGGUUUAUAUGAAGAGGCUGUGAUGAUUCCUAGGGGAGGGUUUUGCUGCAUUGCAAAGUAGAAAAUGGCUACUUUUACGGCAAGGCAAUCUUGGAUGGUCUGCUGCUAUUCUGCAGGCAACUAGCUGCAGCCUCUUGGGCUUGUAGUUUCAGAGACUUGAAUACUAACAACACAAUGCUGGAUUAAGUGGUGAAUCUGAGCCUCUUCCUCCCCUUCUUUGCUUUUAAAUUUCUUCUUGCCCCCUACAAAGAUUUGGUUUUUUCAAGAUUUCUCUAAUUUCUUUACUGUAAUUAAUUUCUUCAGAUGAUUUUUUCUUUGGCUCCCCAAGAAUACAUACAGUUUGGAGACCAUUGAAAGAUAGCAGUGGGAAUCUUGCAUUGAUAGUUGCUAGGGUUUUGAGAACCUAAAUUCUAAUCUUCUAUUAUGGUUGUUCAACAUUAGGGAUUGCACACUGGGGAUUAGGGUUUAUUACAUUUUUAAGGAUUUUGCAUCUACUCCCUUCCAGCACAUAUUCUCAAUUUUCUUUACUCAUCUUUUUACUUUUUAAGCCUUUUUUAUGCAUGAGUGUCGCGUGCACAUAAAUUUUGCUGGAGCUGGUAUCAAUUAAGGCUAUGCAAUUAUUAUAAUUUCUUAAUCUUGUUAAUACUGAAUACAACUAUUCAAUUAUUUAUGCUGCUGCUUUAUCAGCAUUUAUUUUUCUUAGUCUUCCUACUUGUCCUUGCAGAGGUAGUUAUAGUCUGUUUUGUUUGUAAGUUUUUAUGCUUCAGACACCAGGAUCAUAUUCCAUAUUGCUAUCCGGUGGUGCACAAGAGCGUCUCCAAGAAUUUCUAUACAACUUGUUCUGAUUUGAUUUGGAAUCAGCUACUCCGCAUGCAAGGCUAAGGUCGCAUGUGUCUGGGAUGCCCUAUUUAUAUUUGAUAUGUACUCUGCUUACUACAACCAUCCAUAAUAUUUUGUGCUCUUAGAUGUGAGUAUUGCUUAUCUAAGGGGCUUAUUCAUGGGAAUAGUUACUCACCCAUAUAUUUUGCUAGUCAUUUCGAGAAAAAAUAUAAAUUUUUUGAAAUCAAGAAUCUAUACUUAUCACAAUAUUUUGCAAUAUUAUUUGCAGAUUAGUUGGGGAAAAGUGGAAAUAAAAUGUAAACAUUGUAUUAUUUGCAAAUUGGAAUGUCAGUUGUUCUACAAGCUACUACUGCAGCAUAUUAGAGACUGGGCAAGAUUUUUCUUAGGCAGGGAAAAUAAGCCUUUCUUCUUAUUCAGCUCCACAUCAUUUCUUCUUCUAUUUUUGGAUGGCAUGGAACACUAUUAAUUUAACUCCAUCUUCUCUCCCCUUCUUGUCUUUUAUAACAAUACUGGAGCAACUUUUUAUGGUCUGCAACCUAACAGGCAACCUGCUGCCAUUGCUGGUGGGGUUGUUCUGGUCUUUCAGAUGCAUGACUGGGGUCUAUUAGAUGCAGGAUUCGUCUAAGCCUCAAAAUCCUGUUUCACAGCUCUUUCCCUAAUACAUAUUCAUUGGACAUGCCUAGUACUAUUACUUCAUGCGGAAACAAAGGUGACUUAAUUUUGUUGGUGUUUAUUAUGAGGCUUUUGGAAGAACUUGGAUGAUUGCCUCUUCAAUGAUUAUCUUUGCAUGAAAAGAGAUGCAAAUACAUUUCUUUUCUCAUUAUUUUUUUUAAAAUUCUAAUGAUCUAUCCCUUUUGUGAAGCUUUACCAAUUUCUUCACAAUGGGUAGAAAAAUAUUGUUGGUGCUUCCUCUUUGGAAGUCUAUUGGAAAUGGCAACAUAGGACAGUACUGCAAAAAAUCAGUUGUAUCCAUUUAUUUUGAACAUAUUUGCGAGAUGUUUCCCCUCAAUAGGAUAGUAGCCCCCCACCCCCCCCAACCCCAACCCCUAAAAAAAAAGGUCAAAGUGAACUGCCUUCUUUCCUGUCUUAACAUAUGAGGCAUUCAAUCCAUCAUAUGUGGAAAUUAACCCAAGAGAAAAGAUAAUGUAAGAGGGAGUAUAUAUUUAAGUUUUAUUUAAGAAUAUCUCCACAAUUAACUGAUUAAGUGAACCUUUUCAAUGAUAACUUUCUUAGUUUUCUCAAUCUCUAUCGAUUAUUUAUUAAUGUUCAGUCAAGCAAUUGAUAUGUACGAUACAUUAUAUUCCAAAAAGGUAUUUGGUUUUAGAUAUAUAAUGCUCAUAAUAGAUAUAUAGAUUAUAUCAGGUAUAGUCUGUUGUGUUUUUUGACAUAAUAAAGAUGAGAGCAUCACCAAAUAUAACUUGAUUAUGGACUUGGAUUUGUUUGGCAGAGUUGAGUUGGUUAUAUGCUGAGCAUUCAAACAAUGGAAUUACUGGAAUCAGUUCUCUUAACUUUCUCUGUGAUCUUUACUAUAAUGAUAAGGUAAUGGCUUCUGGAUUUUGACAAUCUUUAUGUGCUAAGAUUUCUGAGAGUGUAAUGGAACGAGGACCUGAAGUAAGUUUUCUCCUGUUGGUGAUUCUUGUAAUCACUUUAUUCAUUUUAAUUUAAAGCUUGUGACAUGCAUGAAUGGAGUGAAACUUUUGCAUGGACAGAGAUAAGUAGUCUUGGUAUCAAAUUUUAGUAGUAUAUGACUAUAGGUUAAGUAUUUAAACUGCAGCUGAAUACAUUUUUUUUUACAACGGCUUAAGGAGGACAUGGUUGUGUCUAAUAUUGAAAAAUUGAACGGAUAGAUAAGUGCUUCUUGGUUAUUGCAUCUGUAAAUGUUGUUUUGAUUGAUCUUAUGAAAAUAAUAGCAGGGUGCGAGAACCUUGACCCAGAGUCCAUGUAGGUUUGAGACAACAGAAAAUUAGUAAUAUGAAUUUAAGAAUGUGAUGAGGAACCUGCUGGUUCAGCUUUACUCAUGAUUGGGUGCAUGGCUCAGUUAGUUCAGUCAUACCAAAGUCAAAAGCUUUCGAGAGCAUGCACCAAGAAUGAAUCAGAUGCUUGGAGAACUUUUUGGAGAAUUGUUUCAUAAACUUGACAUAAGCUGGUGAUGACAGAAAAUGCAGGAAAUGUGGCGAAUAACUAAUAUAAGCAUGCAAAUUAGUUACAGUAAUACUCGCAUAAAAUUCAAACUAAUUUGGAUUACAUACUCUUAUUGUGGACUUCUUUUAUGUAUAAUUGGUAGUGGUUAAACCAAGAUUUGCUGUAACAAUGGGUACCACCGUGCACCACUGGUUUCGAAGUGAGACUUGGUAUGGGGGUGUACCAAGUCUAAUACACUGAAUUGACUCCUGUACCGAAACACUGUAUGAGCAUGAUACCAGUACAUGGUCUAGUACCGAGAUGGCGAACAAUGAAAUGGUGUUGUGCUCUAGAUAAUAAAGGGUAGAAGAAAAGAACUAAAUUUUGAAACAACAAAGUAGACUGAAGCGUGCUGGUUAAAAUUUUUCCUGAAAAAGUAUAUCUUCAUCUCUUUAGAUCCUGUUUCGCUUCUUUUUUGUUUUAUCAUACCACAAUUCUGUAUUGGAUCUAUGCCAUCUACUACUUCAAGCAUUAGAAUCCUCUCUCUCUCUCACACACACACACAUACACGCAUGCAGACAUACAGUGGUUAUUCACCAAACUUGAGUCCUCUCACUUGGAGAGAUGGGUACCAACCAGCUGAGAUACUAGCUAUUGAUGAAUCCACUCUCAUAUUACACUUUUACAAUUCUCACAUAUAGAUAGCUACUGAUACUUGAGAUUUCUAGUUGUCUAUGUUGUCUCUGGUUUAUAUUUUGCUUUUAGUGAGUUCUCAACAUGAGUAGGUAGUAAAUAUGGAUUUCAGCAGAAUUUUGCGAAAAAGUCUGUCAUGCGUAAUUCAUUUAGAAAGUUCUUGGUUAUAAUUUAGGAAACACAAAUAAAUGGUUCUCUGCUCAUAUCUGAUGGCAAAAGAUAUCUGGCAAUUGUUGUUUCAUUUAUGUGGCUGUACUAAGGAAAAAACAGUAUUUGUGAGGAUAUAUUAGCACAAGGUAUUCUUUGCCGAUAUGUGGCUACAAGAUGUUUCAUGUGUGCCACAUGUAAAUGAUGCUUUCCAGCAGCUACUUUAACCUAAUGAAUAAGAUCAACUGUCUAAUAUCACUUGGCAUAUUAGCCUAUAAUGACAGCACACCGAGCUUAUCAGAGAUGAGGAUAUUUAGGUGGAAAGUAGUAAAAUGUAUGUAUAGAGAAUACAAGGCACAAUUACCUGAGAUUGGUUUGCAGAGCUGUCCAUAUGAAGGGGUUAUCCAAGAAAAUUUAGAAGUUGUCAACAAUGAAUUUGAGGAACCUUUCAGGGACAGAGCAUGGCCAUAUCUAGAAAUAUAUGUAAAACUUUCAUUUAUAAAGCUUAAAGAUAUGCUUGCCUCCAAGAUAACUAUGCCUUAAAUUUCGUUAUCACCAUUUGAGUCAACAUUAGAUGUCAUUGGAUACACUAAUGUGACCUUACAUUCUACCUUUUUCUAAAUAACAUGUAAAAAUGCUUUUCUUUGGGUUGUCAUGCAAGAAAAAUCAGUGCCCCUUAUUUUUAGACCUUAUUCUUUACUGGACUGCCUUUCAAAAUAUUUUAUCCUUUGAUAUUCAAUCCUUUGGUAAGCAUUCUUUUUUAUAUCUUGACCUUCUGUUUUUGAUUUUCUGAUCUAUCUUUCUUUAUCAAAUGCUUUCUUUUUAUGCAAAUGGAGGAAGGAAACCUUCCCCCAGAUUUAAUAUCAAAUACUUUAAUGCUGUAAUUUCUGUAAUGAUGAAUACAUUUAAAUGAGAUCUGGUAAAUUCCUACCUAUUCUGAUCCUCUAAUAUGUUUUCUCCCUCAUAAACUCCCCCUUUUUGGAUACUGGGGGAAGGCAAGGAUGCGCAAUGAAAAGGUGUUCAGAUAAGUUACUGUUUUCUUGCUUGCAUCCUUUCUUUCAAUUAGACCAUGUUUAAAUACCACCUGCCUGCUAAAGUUGAAAGAUCUUAGCAGUUUCUUGCAUUAAUGAAAGGAUGAGCAAUCCUCUUUGGGCUUAGGAAGGCCACCAACACUCUGCAGCUGGGUCAGUAAUGGGAGGCAGAAUCAUAUCAUCUUCCCACCACCCAUUUUUUCAUACUAGCUACCGAUAAAGUGAUCAUAUGCAUGAUGGGUAUACCUCUAGAAGCUAAAUGGAUUAUGUGCUUGAUUUGGAGAAACUGGUGCUAUCCAUCAUUAUUAUAAUAGUAAAUUGUAGUAACAGAAAUCUACAAAUGCUGCUUGUCAAAUAUUGUAUUGAGCGUUAAUCACCAUAUAAUUGGCUUUUUGAGAGGCUCUUCCUGGUAAUAUAUUGGUGAUAUUACAAUGAGAUUGAAUAUCUGGAUUUGUUUAUUUUUUAAAGACAGGAUUUGUUGAAGCUUGACAGUAAGAGUCAUCACCCUAAACUAAAUCUAGCUAUAUUAUAUUACUCAAAUAAAAAAUGGAAAAAAUAUCCUGGCUAUACUCCUAUAAUAUAUCAUGCUUGAUUAGCGACUGCCUUAGGUGGCCCUAGUUAUGCUUUGUUCUCUUUUCCUCUUUUUAAUGUAUUCCUGCCAAAAAAGGAAGACCAACUAGGACACAAUACAAGACCAGAGCUGAUCGAAUGCCAGCCAAGGCUAGUCUCUACAGCAUAAAUUAGGACCAGUGUUUAUGCUCAGGCACGGCCUGAUCCGGACAUUGGGUCUCUAUUUUUUGUCCUGGCCCGCACAUUCCUGAAAGGUCAAUAUCAAACCCGCCUAACAAGUCCGAUUUUGAUAUAUUCAUUAGCAUAUAAUAUGAAACUUUAUUGUUAUGAUAUAUAUAUUAGAUAUAUAUAAUUAUCUCAGGCCGGGAUGGGCUAGGUUCAUUUGUUAAUUUUUCUAGGCCCGGCCCGAUUUUUAGUUUGGGCUUUUUUUUUUUUGCCUAGGUUCGUCCCACAUUCGUAGUUUUAGUGUCCAAAUCUGCCAAAUGUCUGGCUGGGCUAAGCAAGCCGGGUGGGCCGUCAGGCUCAUGAUCAGCUCUGCAUAAGAGAUGUAAAAAUCGGCCCUUUUUUUGCCUAGCACAUUCAUAAUUUUCAUGUUCAAAUGUGCCAAAUUUUGGGCUGGGAUAAGCAAGCCGGAUGGGCCGUCGGGCUCAUGAUCAGCUCUACAUAAGAGAUGCAAAAGUGGGAAGAAAAAAAAAUAAUAAUAGCCCAGAUUCACACGGUGACUCUGUAAGCUGCAGGUCAACAAAGACGGUGACGUCCAAUUCCGGGUCGGUCAGCUUUCCCCGUGCGGAAGCUUCUAAACUGACCAGCUACCCCAGUCCGCAAAGCAUUGCUUUGGAUCUAACACAGGAACUGCCUUACUCUAACCCAGGUUUAUUCGACUCAACAUUUACAUAUGGUAUCACUUUAUUCAGACAUUUUUAUAGGUUUAAGGUACCUUAAAGCUCCACUCAGCUAAAAAUCACGUCAAACCAGGAAAGAGCUAUAGGAAGGCAGCAUAUGAAUCUCAGCACCAUUGAGGAAGAGAUGGCAGAUUUGGUCGGGGCUUCCCAAUUCCUCCAUGGCGUUCCCGACAAUGUUGGAAGCUGAUCACCUCCACCAUUGUUUCCAUUGUUUCCUCCUUCAGUGAAUAUGAUGGAAGAAGAAACUUCAUCACACGAGAUAAAAGAAGAAGCUGCGCUUGUUGACUUACCCCACGCUGUAUCCGGCUAAG
Phoenix dactylifera (date palm) is the source of this 8864-nucleotide non-coding RNA. The record is from RefSeq and is a predicted model, not a curated record. NCBI's taxonomy places the organism in Eukaryota, Viridiplantae, Streptophyta, Magnoliopsida, Arecales, Arecaceae.